Molecule: unclassified non-coding RNA, 2700 nt
Filed under: Leishmania donovani
Lineage: Eukaryota; Euglenozoa; Kinetoplastea; Trypanosomatida; Trypanosomatidae
Description: gene:LdHU3.32.3850(CDS-product:hypothetical_prote in_conserved)
Source: RNAcentral
AACCUCGUUUGCUUGUGUAGUUCAGUCCCUUUCUUUGUUUCCGGUCUGCCUUUUCCAUCUCAUUUUUCUCCUUGACUGGUUUCUGAUCCAACAAACAAUGAGAAUCCGAGACAUCGUCAUUAUCGGCGUCGCCUUUGUGUGCAGCAUCAUCUGCUGGUCACAGGAAGGCUCGCUCAACUUUCAGCGGGGGUUUAUGAUUCCCAUCUUGGACAAUGAGCUCACGGAGGUGAUCAUGCCGAAGCCGAUUCUGGUGGACCCAGAUGGCUCAGGGUCCCGCGUUCUCCUGAGUUCUACCAGUGUUGGUUACCUGAACAUCUACAACACCUACUACGCGCGCCGACGCAUCGAUGACAGUUUUGUGCGCCUCAACCCCUCUGCGGAGCUCAAUGUGUACACCCCUAUCGUCGGUAUCGGCGCCGGCUACACGGAGCUGAACAGUAGCAUUAUGCUGUGUGCUGUCGUCACGGAAGACUAUCAGCUCAUAGCGGUUUCUAUCCACACCCCCUCGCCCAGUGUUCUGUGGAAGUCCCAGCUCGUGGCGCCUCGGUACUGGAGCGAGCUUACUCACGCCUCCAUCUCUAUUGUCCCAGAGCGCAAUUGGGCUGAAGAUGUCGGCAUGAUUGCGGUGGCUGCCAAAGUUGUGGAUGCGUCAGGUGUAGAGAUGAUGAUGUACUCCGCGUUUGACGCCAAGACAGGCGCGCGGCGCUGGGCGUACUUCUCUGACGGGGGCAACGAAAUGGACGACGUGGUGCGCGAGGCAAACAACAACGGGACACAGACAGACAACGGCGUUACAGAGUUGCGCUUGCUUGACCGUGAGGGUGCAGCCAAGGGUGGCAUCAAUCAGCACGAUUACUUGCUAGGGAGGAAGUACGAGCAGCCGUGGACCACAUUCCGUGAGUCUGUGAUGGCUUCCAUGCCGCAUCGCUACGCCCACGUGUGGGAUGCGCAGUUGUACCCGCAGGUUUUCUAUCGAGCGAAGGGGAAGCGGAAGGCGCGCUCUAGUAGAGGUAAGGCAGAGCGACGGGCUACAUUUCGGUACAACGACCGGGUGGUGCAUAUGGAGACAGACGAUGGAGGCAACCUGGGAGACAAGCUGUCGGCGUUGGCACUGUCAUUAAGGCAAUCCACUCACGCCUAUCCCGCCAAAAAUGCAACGCGGCGGCGCCGUCGCCCGUCGAACGUGUUUGUGUUUCACGGCGAGCAGGGCGUAGAGGUGGUCCACAUGUACACGGGAAGUACGGUGACAAGCGUAAUGCCGCUGAAGGCUGGUGGAACGUGCUACGAUGACAUCAACGACGAUUUGGUGCUCGAGUCUGUCAGCACCCAGAUAGGCCCCCGCUCCGUCGUGUACGCCAAGCGCGGGAUUGACCUGACGUAUGACUGCCUCGGCAUAAUCGAGGCCGGGGCGCCGUCGUCUGCAGAUGAACUUUUCAACGCCACCGUGUGCAAUACGCAGGGCCUCUUCGGCAACCUCGACCUCAUUCAUCACUUCGUUGACGGUGACAUCCGCGGCGAGGAGGCGCCGCGCGCGCUCAACACACUGGAGCUUCUGGGAAGCCGCAACGUUGUCUCCUCCAUGACGCGCGCAACUCCGCCUCUGAUUCUGCAGGUCCAGCAGAACAUGGGAGCCGGUCUACAGCAGGUAGAACGCUACGCUGCAUUCAUGAUUGACACCGGCCUCGUAACCUGCAUUGACCCAUCGCGGAGGAGGGUGCUGUGGCGCGCUCAAACAGGCGCACGCUUCGCCCCAUCUCCAUCUGACGACAUGGCGGAGAUAAGGAAGAGCCGCUAUCACGUGAAUAGGGACGUGAAGCCGUUCCCGCAAAUGGUGCCGUACUCGCUCAUGCAGAAGAACCGCGAAACCGACGUGACGUUCGUCGGUGGAGGAAAGGAGUACUUCCGCCGCGUCGACACCUACGUUCUCGCAGUGGGCGACGCUGAGUUCUCCAUCAUCAAGACCAAGAACGGCAAGGUAACUCGCUCCGUUUCGUUGACGGAGCCGCCGGUGGCGCCGGUGCUCGUAGUGGACUUCAACGGCGACGGCACAAACGACCUCAUUAUAGUGUCGAAGUACCACAUUUUCGGCUAUGUGGGGAGCUCUCGGGCGUCGUCCGAAACUAUUGCCGCCCUGAUGCUUUUGCUGGUAGGGCUUCUCGGCAUUUUGUUCGCCGUUCGCGAAAAGAAAAUGGCGGAGGGAGACCAAGACAAUUACACGCUGCCCGUGCACACAGGCGACAAGGUGCAACGUAAGAAGACUUUCAAGCGCUCCACCGACUAAGCUGAUGCGUGCCCUCAUGUACGUGCUCAGGUUUUCUUCAUCGUGUGCGCGUGUCUGCGUGUUUCACAGAGUACGGCACUGUCAUGCACAAAGGCCCCCUGCGCAUGCUUUCUUUCAUCGUUGUUUUAUUGCUCGUCUGCUAGCGUGUGCGCUGUUAGGAAAGAGAGGCAGAUGUGGACGGUUGUGAGUCGGGCGCGUGUGAGGUUCCGAGACUCAGUGCAGUCUUUCGAGGUGCAUCCAUGGGCCAUCGCUAUGCGACAAAUGGCGAUAGAAGAGCAGCACUGGGCGAUGUCUGUGCUUCUUUGCUGUAUCUUCGCGCCAGCUGAUGGGCGAGUGUGCGGGUACCGAAGUGUGUGGCUGUUGACAGGCGCGCAGCUCUUCUUUCUGGUCAUGGCGAAGCAGUCAUCCUGAUAUAUGUC